CUACGUAGGGGGCGAGCGUUGUCCGGAAUGAUUGGGCGUAAAGGGCGCGUAGGCGGCCCGGUAAGUCUGGAGUGAAAGGCCUGUUUUUCAGAUGGGAAUUGCUUUGGAUACUGUCGGGCUUGAGUGCAGGAGAGGUAAGUGGAAUUCCCAGUGUAGCGGUGAAAUGCGUAGAGAUUGGGAGGAACACCAGUGGCGAAGGCGACUUACUGGACUGUAACUGACGCUGAGGCGCGAAAGUGUGGGGAGCAAACAGGAUUAGAUACCCUGGUAGUCCACACUGUAAACGAUGAAUGCUAGGUGUAGGGGGUAUCGACCCCUUCUGUGCCGCAGUCAACACAAUAAGCAUUCCGCCUGGGGAGUACGGCCGCAAGGUUGAAACUCAAAUGAAUUGACGGGG
RNAcentral lists this ribosomal RNA (397 nucleotides) under uncultured bacterium. RNAcentral describes it as "partial 16S ribosomal RNA". It matches the Rfam family "Bacterial small subunit ribosomal RNA", at positions 523 to 918 of the family's 1533-position model. The record is from RNAcentral.